GACGAACGCUGGCGGCGUGCCUAAUACAUGCAAGUAGAACGCUGAAGGAGGAGCUUGCUUCUCUGGAUGAGUUGCGAACGGGUGAGUAACGCGUAGGUAACCUGCCUGGUAGCGGGGGAUAACUAUUGGAAACGAUAGCUAAUACCGCAUAAUAGUAGAUGUUGCAUGACAUUUACUUAAAAGGUGCAAUUGCAUCACUACCAGAUGGACCUGCGUUGUAUUAGCUAGUUGGUGGGGUAACGGCUCACCAAGGAGACGAUACAUAGCUGACCUGAGAGGGUGAUUGGACACACUGGGACGGAGACACGGCCCAGACUCCUACGGGAGGGAGCAGUAGGGAAUCUUCGGCAAUGGACGAAAGUAUGACCGAGCAACGCCGCGUGAGUGAAGAAGGUUUUCGGAUCGUAAAGCUCUGUUGUAAGAGAAGAAAGAGUGUGAGAGUGGAAAGUUCACACUGUGACGGUAGCUUAACAGAAAGGGACGGCUAACUACGUG
RNAcentral lists this ribosomal RNA (495 nucleotides) under uncultured bacterium. RNAcentral's name for it is "partial 16S ribosomal RNA". It matches the Rfam family "Bacterial small subunit ribosomal RNA", at positions 28 to 507 of the family's 1533-position model. The record is from RNAcentral.